AACGGCGAGUGAAGCGGCAACAGCUCAAAUUUGAAAUCUGGCUCUUUCAGGGUCCGAGUUGUAAUUUGUAGAAGAUGUUUCGAGUGUGGCUCCGGUCUAAGUUCCUUGGAACAGGACGUCAUAGAGGGUGAGAAUCCCGUAUGUGACUGGUUGCCUUCGCUCAUGUGAAACUCUUUCGACGAGUCGAGUUGUUUGGGAAUGCAGCUCAAAAUGGGUGGUAAAUUUCAUCUAAAGCUAAAUAUUGGCCAGAGACCGAUAGCGCACAAGUAGAGUGAUCGAAAGAUGAAAAGCACUUUGGAAAGAGAGUUAAACAGUACGUGAAAUUGUUGAAAGGGAAGCGCUUGCAACCAGACUUGCGCGUGGUUGAUCAUCCGGGGUUCUCCCCGGUGCACUCGAUCACGCUCAGGCCAGCAUCGGUUUGGGUGGUUGGAUAAAGGCCUUGGGAAUGUGGCUUCCUUCGGGGAGUGUUAUAGCCCUCGGUGCAAUGCAGCCUACCCGGACCGAGGACCGCGCUUCGGCUAGGAUG
Molecule: ribosomal RNA, 526 nt
Filed under: Stipitochalara longipes
Lineage: Eukaryota; Fungi; Ascomycota; Leotiomycetes; Helotiales; Hamatocanthoscyphaceae
Description: eukaryotic LSU rRNA
Rfam family: Eukaryotic large subunit ribosomal RNA
Source: RNAcentral